CAAUAAAUCCCCCCAAGAACGAGACAAAGCUCCGUGUUGAGGGUCAAGCAGUGAACAGACAGAGCUGUGGGUUUAUUGUGCUUAUGUACAAAUUCUUACACAUUAGUACCACCCACAGGGUUUUGGAACACAACCAAUAAACACAUACAAUACACUCAGACACUCCCACACAAAUUCCUCCCCUCUGCCUGUGAUUCAAUUACCUUACACAAUGGACAAUGUGCUCACAUCUUGCACCAAUGCAAAUAGUUAUGUCCUUGCAUUUUGCACUUUGGUCUUGUGGUAUAUGUGCUCACAUCUUGCACUUUAGGCACAUGGUAUAUGUGCUCACAUUUUGCACUUUAGGCACAUGGUAUAUGUGCUCACAUUUUGCACUUUAGGCACAUGGUAUAUGUGCUCACAUUUUGCACUUUAGGCACAUGGUAUAUGUGCUCACAUUUUGCACUUUAGGCACAUGGUAUAUGUGCUCACAUUUUGCACUUUAGGCACAUGGUAUAUGUGCUCACAUCUUGCACUUUAGGCACAUGGUACAUGUGCUCACAUUUUGCACUUUAGGCACAUGGUAUAUGUGCUCACAUUUUGCACUUUAGGCACAUGGUAUAUGUGCUCACAUUUUGCACUUUAGGCACAUGGUAUAUGUGCUCACAUUUUGCACUUUAGGCACAUGGUAUAUGUGCUCACAUUUUGCACUUUAGGCACAUGGUAUAUGUGCUCACAUCUUGCACUUUAGGCACAUGGUACAUGUGCUCACAUUUUGCACUUUAAGCACAUGGUAUAUGUGCUCACA
Pelobates cultripes (western spadefoot toad) is the source of this 787-nucleotide non-coding RNA. NCBI's taxonomy places the organism in Eukaryota, Metazoa, Chordata, Amphibia, Anura, Pelobatidae. The record is from the annotation of a GenBank genome assembly.